RNAcentral lists this long non-coding RNA (1141 nucleotides) under Equus caballus (horse). Its description in RNAcentral is "lncRNA (ENSECAG00000049689.1)". The record is from RNAcentral. Lineage: Eukaryota; Metazoa; Chordata; Mammalia; Perissodactyla; Equidae.
GAGGAGGCAGCUCCCUGGGACCCACUUACCCUCCAGUGGAGGUGACCAAGUCCUCCACACCACAUGCUGCCUGAGGGGCCCUGUGGUGUGGUGAACCACGGCUGUGGGAGUCCCAGGCUGAGUGGUUUCCCGGUAAGCCUGGAAACAGAAGCAUCCCCGAGCUCGGAGCCCUCAGAGCUCAUCGGGGACAAGCCCACCCAGUGGGAAGUCCUCCACACACUUCAGAGACGGAGUCUGACCACCGUCAAGUUGGCUCUUCCCACGCCCCGCCAGCCCUGAUGCUCGAAAGUGGUCUCCCGGAAAGACAGCACAUUGGCCACGUUAUGGCCUUGGGGCCACCCCAAGGGAGACUUAACUGUCCCUUCAGGUUGGUUGCUUAGCAAGUGGCAGAUGCUCCUCCUGGCCCCACAAAUAUCGAUGAAGGGCCCACCCUGUGCCAGGCACUGUUGUGGGCACUCAGACACCUCUGUGAACAAAAGAAACAAAUCUCUGGCCCCAUGGACCUAGCCUUCCCAAGGAUGGGCCUGCUUAGGACUGAGCCCCUUGGUCUCCUCAUCGGAGCAGCAGGGAGGAAAGCCCACCUCACUGCCAGGACCAAGUGGGGCGGAGCCAAGUGGGGCAGAGGACCAGGAGCAAUGUCAUCCAUCUACUUUUGAUUCCACCUGCCGUCCCACCUCAGUCGGCGUCUGCUCCCCAGGCACUCAGGGGCCCAUCUGCCUCUUCUCAGGAUUCUCCCUCUUGGCCACUCUGAGUCCUAAGAAGGUGUCCUCCUCCUCCACACCAUGACCUUGUUCUCAGUAAGGUCACAAGACAGCUUCUUGCCUAUGAGAGAGGAACGUCUUGGACAGCACAGGUGUCCAGAAGUCCAUGUGGCUUUAUCAGCGACUACUGCAGGGGACCAGCUAGGCGGCCAUCCGGCCAUCCAUUGCCUCCAUGGACAGAGCCACCGCCCUUCCCUUAAUCAUACCUGUCUCUUUCCCAGUGCCCCCACUAGCUCUGUCCUGGGGAGGGAAAGAAAGUAGAAGGAGCCUUCUGAGUGGGGGUGUGGCUUGAAACCCCAGGGGGCUCUUCCAUCAGGGGUGUGUCUUUCCUGGACCCCAGCCAGGAGAGACACACUCAGAGCAUGAAUGACACCCCAGCA